Molecule: unclassified non-coding RNA, 275 nt
Filed under: uncultured Eurotiales
Lineage: Eukaryota; Fungi; Ascomycota; Eurotiomycetes; Eurotiales
Description: sequence contains 5.8S rRNA gene, ITS2, 28S rRNA gene
Rfam family: 5.8S ribosomal RNA (bases 1-52)
Source: RNAcentral
AACGCACAUUGCGCCCCCUGGUAUUCCGGGGGGCAUGCCUGUCCGAGCGUCAUUGCUGCCCUCAAGCACGGCUUGUGUGUUGGGCCGCCGUCCCCGCCUCUCUCUCUCUCUUUCCGGGAGGACGGGCCCGAAAGGCAGCGGCGGCACCGCGUCCGGUCCUCGAGCGUAUGGGGCUUCGUCACCCGCUCCGUAGGCCCGGCCGGCGCCUGCCGACGACCAUCAAUCUCUUUUUCCAGGUUGACCUCGGAUCAGGUAGGGAUACCCGCUGAACUUAA